GUGUCAGCAGCCGCGGUAAUACGUAGGGAGCAAGCGUUGUUCGGAUUUACUGGGCGUAAAGGGCGCGUAGGCGGCGCGGUAAGUCACUUGUGAAAUCUCUGAGCUUAACUCAGAACGGCCAAGUGAUACUGCAGUGCUAGAGUGUAGAAGGGGCAAUCGGAAUUCUUGGUGUAGCGGUGAAAUGCGUAGAUAUCAAGAGGAACACCUGAGGUGAAGACGGGUUGCUGGUCUAACACUGACGCUGAGGCGCGAAAGCCAGGGGAGCAAACGGGAUUAGAUACCCCGGUAGUCCUGGCCCUAAACGAUGAAUACUUGGUGUCCGGGGUUUCAAGACCCUGGGUGCCGUCGCUAACGUUUUAAGUAUUCCGCCUGGGGAGUACGCUCGCAAGAGUGAA
RNAcentral lists this ribosomal RNA (395 nucleotides) under uncultured bacterium. RNAcentral's name for it is "bacterial SSU rRNA". It matches the Rfam family "Bacterial small subunit ribosomal RNA", at positions 505 to 898 of the family's 1533-position model. The record is from RNAcentral.